RNAcentral lists this ribosomal RNA (216 nucleotides) under Glomeromycotina sp. RNAcentral describes it as "partial small subunit ribosomal RNA". The stretch from base 44 to 216 matches the Rfam family "Eukaryotic small subunit ribosomal RNA", at positions 690 to 864 of the family's 1831-position model. Lineage: Eukaryota; Fungi; Glomeromycota. The record is from RNAcentral.
GGGUCAGUAGGUUGGUCGUGCCACCGGUACGUACUGGUCUCACUGAUUCCUCCUUCCUGAAGAACCGUAAUGCCAUUAAUUUGGCGUUGCGGGGAAACAGGACUGUUACUUUGAAAAAAUUAGAGUGUUUAAAGCAAGCUAACGCUUGAAUACAUUAGCAUGGAAUAAUGAAAUAGGACGAUCGAUCCUAUUUUGUUGGUUCCUAGGAUUGACGUA